GUACGCUGGAAUCAACAAAGAAAAAUUUCAAGGUAGACUGACUGAUUGAGUGGAUGGAAAAAGAUCGAGAAUCAAGAUGAAGAUGAAGAAAAGAAAGCUGUGGCUUUUGGUUAGAGCAAUAUUAUCAUAUGCGAGUAGUUCCUUUGUAAAGUCUCAAAAAGAGAGAACGAGUAAUUUAAAGUGCUUGUUUCAUCCAUGUAUUUAAACAACAGUUUUUAGUUUUUUUGAAAAUAUGUGUGGAUGAAAAAGUAUAUGAAAAUACAUAUAAUGUUAUUUAAAAACUGAAAA
This is a long non-coding RNA of Quercus robur (English oak), 288 nucleotides long. RefSeq lists it as uncharacterized. The record is from RefSeq and is a predicted model, not a curated record. Lineage: Eukaryota; Viridiplantae; Streptophyta; Magnoliopsida; Fagales; Fagaceae. The transcript is spliced from 2 exons.